GUCGGAUGGCGUCUCCGCGGCUGGGAUCGGAUCUUCUGGAUGGGGAGCGUUACCGCGUUGGUUUGGGCUGCGCCAAGUGAGGGCCCAGUUUCCUGAGCCCAUUACCUCGCUGUGGGGCCCGUAGCCUCCUAGCGCAUGCACCGCUGCCUCAGCGGCCGCCCUGGUUGCUUGCUCCGGCACUCGCCGCCGGCGCCCAUCGUAAGAGUACUCCAGCGAGCCCUCAAGCCAAA
This 230-nucleotide long non-coding RNA is filed under the name Setaria italica (foxtail millet). RNAcentral's name for it is "long non-coding RNA (SITA_LNC005604)". The record is from RNAcentral. Lineage: Eukaryota; Viridiplantae; Streptophyta; Magnoliopsida; Poales; Poaceae.